Molecule: ribosomal RNA, 373 nt
Filed under: uncultured bacterium
Lineage: Bacteria
Description: bacterial SSU rRNA
Rfam family: Bacterial small subunit ribosomal RNA
Source: RNAcentral
ACGUAGGUGGCAAGCGUUAUCCGGAUUUAUUGGGCGUAAAGCGAGCGCAGGCGGUUGCUUAGGUCUGAUGUGAAAGCCUUCGGCUUAACCGAAGAAGGGCAUCGGAAACCGGGCGACUUGAGUGCAGAAGAGGACAGUGGAACUCCAUGUGUAGCGGUGGAAUGCGUAGAUAUAUGGAAGAACACCAGUGGCGAAGGCGGCUCUCUGGUCUGCAACUGACGCUGAGGCUCGAAAGCAUGGGUAGCGAACAGGAUUAGAUACCCUGGUAGUCCAUGCCGUAAACGAUGAGCGCUAGGUGUUGGGGACUUUCCGGUCCUCAGUGCCGCAGCAAACGCAUUAAGCGCUCCGCCUGGGGAGUACGACCGCAAGGUUG